Molecule: ribosomal RNA, 474 nt
Filed under: uncultured bacterium
Lineage: Bacteria
Description: partial 16S ribosomal RNA
Rfam family: Bacterial small subunit ribosomal RNA
Source: RNAcentral
GACGAACGCUGGCGGCGUGCUUAACACAUGCAAGUCGAGCGGUAAGGCUCCUUCGGGAGUACACGAGCGGCGAACGGGUGAGUAACACGUGAGUAAUCUGCCCCUCACUUCGGGAUAACCACCGGAAACGGUGGCUAAUACCGAAUACGACCAGUCUUCGCAUGGGGUGCAGGUGGAAAGUCUUUUCGGUGUAGGCUGUGCUCGCGGCCUAUCAGCUUGUUGGUGGGGUAAUGGCCUACCAAGGCCUCGACGGGUAGCCGGCCUGAGAGGGUGACCGGCCGCACUGGGACUGAGACACGUCCCAGACUCCUACGUGGGGCAUCAGUGGGGAAUAGUGGACAAUGGGCGAAAGCCUGAUCCAGCAACGCCGCGGGAGGGAUGACGGCCUUCGGGUUGUAAACCGCUUUCAGUACCGACGAAGCGCCCUGUCGGGUGGUGACGGUAGGUACAGAAGAAGGACCGGCUAACUACGUG